Molecule: RNA transcript, 4174 nt
Organism: Formica exsecta
Lineage: Eukaryota; Metazoa; Arthropoda; Insecta; Hymenoptera; Formicidae
Gene: wdb
Gene name: serine/threonine-protein phosphatase 2A 56 kDa regulatory subunit epsilon isoform
Exons: 10
Source: RefSeq, a predicted model, not a curated record
CGAGCGCGCAUUACUAUUUUCAGGCACACAAGGCACCUCUCUUGACGGAUUUUCAAUAAGUGAAGAGGGCGGCGAUAGGUGAGCGCGCGUGCGAUAGGAUCGGUCAUUUUUUUUUGUCGGCUUCGCGCGAUCAUCGGACGGUCCGGUUGUUCUCGACGGUGGGAUAUAGAGGUAGGUGUGUGCGCGCGCGAUAAAGCACAGUGUGUUAAAAAGCAAGCGGGUGAACGAGGCGACGAAAGAACCGAGGGGGCGAAGAGGAGGUGGAGGCACACGCGAAUCAGCAGCAGCGACGACAAGGGCGAUGUCGGGCCACGUCCCGGCGGCUCUCGGCGCCUGACUCGAUCGCGUCUGUCUCGGUACGUUCCGCCGGAAGAUGAGAGAGGCCCCUACGUCGCAGCGAGCAGCUGAUGGCGGCCGAGCGCUCUUGCGUUACGAGUUGCUCUUAACGUACAAGUCUACCUAACGUCGUCGGGCGUCCGGGCGGCGCGAGUGGUGGUGUUUGACGGCCGCCGCGCGAAAGGGACAUCCAGGUAGCAGUGACUCGACACCCGAGUCUCGUCCUCGCGCGUACAUAUAUAACGCCCCGAUCGUGCGGAUUAUUAUAUAUCCGUGUUAAGGUCCUCCAGACAGGAUAUCGUAUAUACCGCUGCGUGUGCGCGCGGCCACAUUAUCCGCGGCCAUACUUACUACACGGACGUGCGCUGCUAUACCAGCCGCAGUCGAAUCGUUCUCUAUUUCGUAACGGUGCUUUUUCUUUCUCCUCUCUCUUUCUUUCUCUCUCUCUCUCUCUCUCUCUCUUCCUCUCUCACUUUGUCUCUCGGUUGGCCGGUAGUUCGACUCGAGCACGACGGCACGGUGCGUGCGUGCGUGCGUGCGUGCGUGCGUGCGCUUAAUCUCAGCUCUACGCAUAUCGUUGGAGAGGAGAGACCUCAACACCGACCGAUCAACCGACUUAACCAACGAACCAGCAGCGGCUACCCAUCACCGACCGGCGCCGCCGUCGUCGAUCGAAUCCACCCUACGUCGUUUGCGACGCGGGCGAGUCGAGGAGAGCCCUCUCUCCCUUUUCUCCUGCAAAGAGGACCCGCGGCUACCGGUCGUCGUUUUACGCCGUAUAUAUUUUACACAGUGUAGGUGGGAGCGGAAGAGGACGGAGACACGGUAGUGCGUCCGCGUGUGCGACAACGCCUAGAGAUCAUCGCGCCCCUUCCUCCCGGUGGUAGCCGGUGCGCGAUCGGGGUUUGCAAAUUGUGACAUCGUUCAUAGGAUCCACGACGACGCCGUGACCGUCACCGAUUAGAAAAAAAAAAAAAAAAUAAAAGGAAAAAAAAUUCCCCGGGCGUGUGUGCUAUGCUCCUCGGACGCUCUCGGCGGAGCUCACUUUGUUACUCCUUCAUCGCAGAGUGAAUGAACAAAAGUGAAUCGUGUUAAAGGAAGAAGAAGAGGGAGAGAACGAACGAAUGCGACACAAGACCAUCACACGUGUAUCGUGUAUCAGUGUGUUCCUUUCUUUCUCGUGAAGUGCAGUGUAUUCGUCGUCGUCAUCGUGCACGGAAUGCGGCCUCUUCGGGGUGAGGGUGAUCUUCGUCUCUAGUCGCGAGACGCUUCGCUAUCUGGAAAUACCCAGGAGAAAGAGGCGCAGGAGCCGCUACAGCCCUCGUUGAGAGCCUCGACACAUCACCAGGAUAAAGUCUUACAGUGCCUCCGUUAAUGCCAAAAUGUCGUCAGGGACUUUCGUCGACCGGAUAGACCCCUUCGCCAAGCGAUCCCUGAAGAAGAAAUCCAAGAAGUCGCAGGGUUCCUCCCGUUAUCGCAAUUCGCAAGACGUAGAGCUCCAACAGUUGCCACUGCUUAAAGAUGUUAACGCUGCGGAACAGGAGGAAUUGUUUAUCAAAAAGCUCCGCCAAUGCUGCGUGGCUUUCGACUUCAUGGAUCCAAUGGCUGAUCUCAAGGGUAAAGAAAUUAAACGGAGUACGCUCAAUGAAUUGGUGGAGUAUAUCACAGCAGGACGAGGUGUCCUUACUGAGCCCAUUUACCCGGAAACUAUCAAGAUGGUUUCUGCAAAUUUAUUUCGUACGUUGCCACCGAGUGAAAACCCGGAUUUCGAUCCAGAAGAGGAUGAUCCGACACUGGAGGCGAGUUGGCCCCAUCUUCAGUUGGUCUACGAAGUCUUCCUCCGUUUUCUCGAGUCUUCAGAUUUCCAGCCUGCCAUUGGCAAAAAAGUUAUCGACCAAAAAUUUGUGUUACAGUUAUUGGAUUUAUUCGACUCGGAAGACCCGAGGGAAAGGGAUUUCCUGAAAACCGUUUUGCAUCGUAUUUAUGGCAAGUUCCUGGGUCUUAGAGCCUUCAUACGCAAACAAAUAAACAACAUUUUUCUGAGGUUUGUGUAUGAAACAGAACAUUUCAACGGCGUCGGUGAACUUCUUGAAAUUUUGGGUAGCAUUAUUAAUGGAUUCGCUCUUCCUUUAAAAGUUGAGCAUAAGCAAUUUUUGGUUAAGGUGCUGUUACCGCUACAUAAAGUGAAAUGUUUAUCACUAUAUCACGCGCAGUUAGCUUAUUGUGUGGUGCAAUUUUUGGAAAAAGAUGCGACUUUAACAGAACCAGUUGUACGAGGCCUCCUUAAAUUCUGGCCUAAAACGUGCAGCCAGAAGGAGGUGAUGUUCCUUGGCGAAAUCGAGGAAAUAUUGGACGUUAUAGAACCUAGCCAAUUUGUUAAAAUACAAGAACCUUUAUUCAGGCAAAUCGCACGUUGCGUAUCUUCACCACACUUUCAGGUUGCGGAAAGAGCAUUGUACUUUUGGAAUAACGAGUACAUAAUGUCUCUAAUUGAGGAAAACAAUCAUGUAAUAAUGGGAAUUAUGUUUCCAGCACUGUACAGAAUUAGUAAAGAGCAUUGGAAUCAGACGAUCGUAGCUCUUGUUUAUAACGUUUUAAAAACGUUUAUGGAGAUGAACAGCAAGCUCUUUGAUGAACUUACUGCCAGCUAUAAGUCUGAAAGGCAAAAAGAGAAAAAGAGGGAAAAGGAGAGAGACGAAUUGUGGAAGAAACUGAGCGAAUUGGAGAUAGAACGACGUAAUGCUCUCGAACGUAAUGCUAUCACAGCUACCUCCAAUAAUCCAGUUCCUGCCACUAACACACCUGCGACGCGAACCCGCCCCUGAGCUGGUCGAAUUACAGUACCACGCUGCCCGAUUGUUAGCUCUUAGUUUACGUCGAUUGUCCAUAUAUUACACGCAAAAAAUUAUUGUUGUUAGUGAAACAAAGUGUCUCACGAUGGCAUCCUUGACGUAAUGUAAUUCAUUUUAUUAGUUGUGACCAGUAUGGCGGAGUGAUAGAAGCAGGAAAAAAAAUGCAAAAGAAAAGACAAUGCACGCAAUCUUAUGCUUUUUUUUUGUUUUUUUCUUCUUUUUUUUUGACAACAAUAAUGACAUCAACAAUAACAACGUGGCGAUCAGUGAAUUCCAAAUGAUUUUAUAUAUGUGUAUAUCGGGUACAUUUACUUCCGUUUCUUGUCUCGUUUUGAAAUGGGGAAACGGUCUCGAUUGCAUGAUGUGUGUACUCUCAGUGUCAGUACGCAACAAUGUAUUAGUCCAUCCUUGACUAAGAUUUUGUUGCGUUUUCGGUAGGACGGGACAAUCGUGGUGUAAAUUUCGAAUGGACGAAGUUAUACACGUCGUUGUGAUCCUUAUGUUCAUUUUACGGAGGACGCGACACUUUGUGCAUUCUCUCAGACGGCCAGUGUGUCGCCUCCUGACUGACCCUUGCGCUGUUUAUUACUGCUCCUGAUAGAGCCAGCGGGGGUGUUUGAAUAUAUGUAUCAUAUAUUCGUAUUAGCGAUAACGAUAAUUAUAACAGAGGGAAGGAAGAAGGAAUAAUGGAGCGAGGGGAUGAGAGGAGUAUACAAUAAAUGACGAAGAAAAGAAAAACAGAUUUGAUUGUACCAAAAACAUCCGUUGCUUAUAAAUAUAAUUACGUGAUAGUGAUACAGCGCGCAGAUAUAUAAGGAUCCACUUUGGAGCUGUGCUCCCUACACUGGCAAAUGUAGGGGAAACACACAUAUAUAUACACACACACACUACACACACCGCGGGGUCGUUUUUAAAAUUUCUUACCAUUGCAUAAUAAUAAUUAAUAAUAUUACGAAUAACGAUAAUGGUAACAAUAAAGAAUAACU